AAAAAGGAGAGAAAAAAUACUAAGAAAAAGUUAAUACAAAGUAAAUCACAUUCUCUUCCUAACACCUAAAGAAACUAUAAUUAGGGACAACAUAUAAAACUACAUAAUAAAGAUAAAAAAGAUAAGGUUAAGUCUCUCUCUCUCUCUCUCUCUCCCCCCCUCUCUCUCUCCAUCUAUAAUCUGUAGGGGAAGAUCAAGAUCUUAUCUGAGGUUAUUUGCAGUUAUAUACCUUAAUUUUUGCUUUGGAUUUUCCCCUUAUUUCGAAGAAAAACACCUGCGCAGUAAUCAUCAUGUCCUCCAAACUUUGUAUUUCAUCAUUAGUCGCACACUCUCAUCAUCACUACAAGACAUUCUUUUACCAUCAACGAACCCCAUCUACAAACUCAAAGAUCAGAGCAAGAAAAAGGAAGAAAAGGAGAGAAAAAACUGGCGAUAUUGAAGAUGGGUUCAUUGAAGAAGAAGAAACCCUACUUUCUGUUUCUGAUCAUCUUUGAGCCAUGAGUCUGCAAUGGAUUUCUUCUUCUUCUUCUUCUCUUCUUCUCUUCUUCUCCGGGGAAUUGAAGCAUGUCGGUCCGAUAUUUUACUAGAUCAAUCAAAUUAAGAUCUAUCUAUCUACAAAUUAUUCAAGAUUCUUCACUUGCGCACUCAAUUGAUGAGUCUUUUGCUAAAUUUGCAUCUACUUCGAGAAAUUUCAAAUGGUUAGUUUUGCUUUGGAUAUGGUGAUUGUCUACUGAUUAAAGAACAUGGUAAGAUCAUUUCUUAGCAUGUGAUUUGAUUCUCUUUUCUUGCUUGAAAAUAAAUUCAUGCCCCCCCCCCCCCCCCCCCCCCCCCACACCAACCAAAUAGGGGCCAAACGGGGCCCCCUCUAGAAGCAUAAUUACUAAGGUUUCUCUUUCUUUCUGUUGCCUGUUGAACCCAAAUCUAUGUUGGUGUAAGUUUGUGAAAUCAUUAAGAAGGCGAGUACUAUAAGCAUGUAAAGAAUAAAUGUUGUUCUUGAGAACACAAAACCGAAGUAUUUCCAUUUGAGUGUAUGUAUUGGAUGCUUGUAUUAAUUAGAAUUGUCUGUAUCUAGGGUUAAAUGUUUCUUUCAGAACUUUAUAUACUUUGGUUUUCUGUAUUGAUUGGAUUUGUCUGAAUCUAGGGUUUGAUGUUCCUUUCAUAUAUUCAGAUGUUUUGUCGUCAGAAAUUUAUUCUAUAUCACAGUUGAAACUAAUUAUUUAAUUACUUUUUUGUUUAAGAAUAAUCUUAAAUCCUUCUCCUUGUGAUUAUUGCUCCAAAACACAAGGAUUAUAAUAAAAAUUUCCUUUCUUUCUCAAAACGAAUAUGCUAAUGAAGCUUAGAGAUUCGGUAAAGAGGAAGAAACUUAUAAUAUCCUAGCUGCUUAUACUUAUUUUCAUGGACAAGUAUUUUAGACAACUUUCAUUCGUCAUACUUCUUUCAAAAUUUAAGGAAUAUGAUCAAGGUCGCAAAUUCUUAGGUUUUGUUUGGCAUUUCUUAUUUUUAAUUUUUGUUUGAUAAACACCUGAGGAGGAUAAAUUCUACAUUAAGUUUGAAUUAAUUAGGUUAAGUACUGAUAAUCUCCGUUGAAUUAUGUAUAAGCUUCUAGAAGAGAAUUUGAAAUGAUGAAUUUGUCCCUUUGAUGUCCACUGUUAUUGUGGUCACUUGUCGUCCCUCAAAAGGUAGGGUUUUCCAAAAGGAAAUGAUUGUGUUUCUUGAGUGAAUUAGUUAUCUACAUUAUGAUGAGGGGAAAGUUAAUGAUAUGAUUUAUUAGUCAUCGAUGCAAAUAAUGUCAAUGGUUGAAAAAGAUCAAAGCUUUUGAUACUAAAACAGUGAAUAUGUUCAUCUUUUAAAUCUUGAACCACAUGGGAACAAAUUGAGGUGAAGACAAUAAUCAUAGAAAUUUGGGAUAUUUUUUCAAUUGUCUCUAAGCAUUAUAAUAAGAAGAACACAAAUAAAAAAUAAAAAUAGAGAAUAAUAUUG
Molecule: long non-coding RNA, 1980 nt
Filed under: Olea europaea (common olive)
Lineage: Eukaryota; Viridiplantae; Streptophyta; Magnoliopsida; Lamiales; Oleaceae
Description: long non-coding RNA (OEUR_LNC009654)
Source: RNAcentral